RNA transcript from Chiroxiphia lanceolata (lance-tailed manakin), 762 nucleotides. It is a transcript of the gene named LYR motif containing 4, with no coding region annotated. Lineage: Eukaryota; Metazoa; Chordata; Aves; Passeriformes; Pipridae. The transcript is spliced from 4 exons. The record is from RefSeq and is a predicted model, not a curated record.
CGGGAGGCGGGAGGGCGGGGAAAAGGGGCCCCGCCGUGGCGGGAGGAGCCGCCCCGGUGCCGGCAACAUGGCAGCGUCCAGCCGUGCCCAGGUGCUGCGGCUGUACCGCGCCCUGCUGCGGGAGAGCCAGCGCUUCAGCGGCUACAACUACAGAACAUAUGCCAUCAGAAGGAUAAGAGAUGCCUUCAGAGAAAACAAGAAUAUAAAGGAUUCUGAAAAAAUAGAAGAACUAGUGAAUAAAGCCAAAGCAAACCUAGAGGUUAUUCGUCGGCAGGCUACAUGACAUUCUUCGUUGUCAAAAGACUGACUCUUUGCUCCCCUAUGACAUGCUGAUAUUUAGCAUACUAGUGAGACUCUGAAUUCUUAUAGACCCAAUUAUGGAAAGUCAGGUUACUAUUGGCCAACUGUACUCCACGCAGAAAUUGGUUAUUGAGAGUCCAGGAAACACAUAGCUAUGAGAAGCCUCUGAUCCUGAAGCAACACUGGACCAUCUUCAGCAUCCUACAGUGCCACAUACAGAAGCAUAAAUUCACUGCACACAUCUGAGCUUUUCUGUUCAGCAGAAGAAAUGCCUGAGAGACUCAGUUUUUGGCAACCAAAGUACUAUUUUCUAGUGGUUCACACGUUCUAAGAUAUAUGGCUGUGAUUUAAAAUAGCAUGUAAGAUAGUCUUGAAAUGUGUUUGCUUGUAUGUUCCAUGUGAUGGAAUAGUUCCUGCCCUACUUUGACAAUAAAACUUCAUUAAACUACCUGUAACCAGAUA